AACGAACGCUGGCGGCAUGCCUAACACAUGCAAGUCGAACGAGACCUUCGGGUCUAGUGGCGCACGGGUGCGUAACGCGUGGGAACCUGCACUUAGGUUCGGAAUAACUCCCCGACAGGGGUGCUAAUACCGGAUAAUGUCUUCGGCCCAAAGAUUUAUCGCCUUUGGAUGGGCCAGCGUUGGAUUAGCUAGUUGGUAUGGUAAAAGCCUACCAAGGCGAUGAUGCAUAGCUGGUUUGAGAGGAUGAUCAGCCACACUGAGACUGAGACACGGCCCAGACUCCUACGGGAGGCAGCAGAGCGGAAUAUUGGACAAUGGGGGAAAGCAUGAUCCUGCAAUGCCGCGUAAGUGAUGAAGGCAUGAGGGUUGUAAAGCUCUUUUAACCGGGAUGAUAAUGACAGUACCGGAAGAAUAAGCUCCGGCUAACUCCGUG
This 433-nucleotide ribosomal RNA is filed under the name uncultured bacterium. RNAcentral's name for it is "partial 16S ribosomal RNA". It matches the Rfam family "Bacterial small subunit ribosomal RNA", at positions 29 to 507 of the family's 1533-position model. The record is from RNAcentral.